GACGAACGCUGGCGGCGUGCUUAACACAUGCAAGUCGAACGGAAAGGCCCUGCUUUUGUGGGGUGCUCGAGUGGCGAACGGGUGAGUAACACGUGAGUAACCUGCCCUUGACUUUGGGAUAACUUCAGGAAACUGGGGCUAAUACCGGAUAGGAGCUCCUGCUGCAUGGUGGGGGUUGGAAAGUUUCGGCGGUCGGGGAUGGACUCGCGGCUUAUCAGCUCGUUGGUGGGGUAGUGGCUUACCAAGGCUUUGACGGGUAGCCGGCCUGAGAGGGUGACCGGCCACAUUGGGACUGAGAUACGGCCCAGACUCCUACGGGAGGCAGAGGUGGGGAAUAUUGCACAGUGGGCGGAAGCCUGAUGCAGCAACGCCGCGUGCGGGAUGACGGCCUUCGGGUUAUAAACCGCUUUCGCCUGUGACGAAGCGUGAGUGACGGUAAUGGGUAAAGAAGCACCGGCUAACUACGUG
This 468-nucleotide ribosomal RNA is filed under the name uncultured bacterium. RNAcentral's name for it is "partial 16S ribosomal RNA". It matches the Rfam family "Bacterial small subunit ribosomal RNA", at positions 28 to 507 of the family's 1533-position model. The record is from RNAcentral.